GACGAACGCUGGCGGAGUGCUUAACACAUGCAAGUCGAACGGAAAGGCCCUGCUUUUGUGGGGUGCUCGAGUGGCGAACGGGUGAGUAACACGUGAGUAACCUGCCCUUGACUUUGGGAUAACUUCAGGAAACUGGGGCUAAUACCGGAUAGGAGCUCCUGCUGCAUGGUGGGGGUUGGAAAGUUUCGGCGGUUGGGGAUGGACUCGCGGCUUAUCAGCUUGUUGGUGGGGUAGUGGCUUACCAAGGCUUUGACGGGUAGCCGGCCUGAGAGGGUGACCGGCCACAUUGGGAAUGAGAUACGGCCCAGACUCCUACGGGAGGCAGCAGUGGGGAAUAUUGCACAAUGGGCGGAAGCCUGAUGCAGCAACGCCGCGUGCGGGAUGACGGCCUUCGGGUUGUAAACCGCUUUCGCCUGUGACGAAGCGUGAGUGACGGUAAUGGGUAAAGAAGCACCGGCUAACUACGUG
RNAcentral lists this ribosomal RNA (468 nucleotides) under uncultured bacterium. RNAcentral describes it as "partial 16S ribosomal RNA". It matches the Rfam family "Bacterial small subunit ribosomal RNA", at positions 28 to 507 of the family's 1533-position model. The record is from RNAcentral.